Molecule: ribosomal RNA, 1235 nt
Filed under: metagenome
Description: bacterial LSU rRNA
Rfam family: Bacterial large subunit ribosomal RNA
Source: RNAcentral
UGAAUACGAGAUGCUACGGCAUCGAAGCAGUCUAUGUCAUACUUCCAAGAAAAGCUUGCACUGUCAUAAACAAAUAAUGCCUGUACCAUAACCGACACAGGUGGGUAGGUAGAGUAUACUAAGGGGCGCGAGAUAACUCUCUCUAAGGAACUCGGCAAAAUGACUCCGUAACUUCGGGAGAAGGAGUGCCUUAUUUUAUAAGGUUGCAAUAACAAGAUCCAAGCAACUGUUUACCAAAAACACAGGUCUCCGCUAAGUCGUAAGACGAUGUAUGGGGGCUGACGCCUGCCCAGUGCCAGAAGGUUAAAGAAGUUGGUUAGCAUUAGCGAAGCUGAUAACUGAAGCCCUGGUGAACGGCGGCCGUAACAAUAACGGUCCUAAGGUAGCGAAAUUCCUUGUCGGGUAAGUUCCGACCCGCACGAAAGGCGUAAUGAUUUGGAUACUGUCUCGGAGAGGGGCUCGGUGAAAUAGACUUGUCUGUGAAGAUGCGGACUACCUGCACCAGGACAGAAAGACCCUAUGAAGCUUUACUGUAACUUGAGAUUGAAAUUGGACUUUAUUUGCGCAGUAUAGGUGGGAGACGUUGAAAAUAUUCUUGCGGGAAUAUUGGAGUCAUCAGUGAGAUACCACUCUUAUAAUGUUAGAUUUCUAACUUUGUAUCAUUAUCUGGUCAGAGAACAGUCUCAGGCGGGCAGUUUGACUGGGGCGGUCGCCUCCCAAACGGUAACGGAGGCGCACAAAGGUUUCCUCUGAACGUGUAGAAAUCGUAUCUAGAGUGUAAAGGCAUAAGGAAGCUUGACUGUGAGACCUACAAGUCGAGCAGGGACGAAAGUCGGUCUUAGUGAUCUGACGGUGCUGAGUGGAAAGGCCGUCACUCAACGGAUAAAAGUUACUCUAGGAUAACAGGCUGAUCUCCCCCAAGAGUUCACAUCGACGGGGAGGUUUGGCACCUCGAUGUCGGCUCAUCGCAUCCCGGGGCGGUAGUACGUCCCAAGGGUUGGGCUGUUCGCCCAUGAAAGCGGUACGCGAGCUGGGUUCAGAACGUCGUGAGACAGUUCGGUCCAUAUCCGGUGUAGGCGUUAGAAUAUUGAGAGGAGCCUUCUUUAGUACGAGAGGACCGAGAAGGACAUACCUCUGGUGUACCAGUUAUCGUGCCAACGGUAAACGCUGGGUAGCUAUGUAUGGAGAGGAUAACCGCUGAAAGCAUCUAAGUGGGAAGCCCACCUCAAGAUAAG